This 453-nucleotide ribosomal RNA is filed under the name uncultured bacterium. Its description in RNAcentral is "bacterial SSU rRNA". It matches the Rfam family "Bacterial small subunit ribosomal RNA", at positions 8 to 507 of the family's 1533-position model. The record is from RNAcentral.
AGAGUUUGAUCAUGGCUCAGAACGAACGCUGGCGGCAUGCCUAACACAUGCAAGUCGAACGAAGUCUUCGGACUUAGUGGCGCACGGGUGCGUAACGCGUGGGAAUCUGCCCUUGGGUGCGGAAUAACUUCUCGAAAGGGAUGCUAAUACCGCAUAAUGUCGUAAGACCAAAGAUUUAUCGCCCAAGGAUGAGCCCGCGUAAGAUUAGCUAGUUGGUGGGGUAAAAGCCUACCAAGGCGACGAUCUUUAGCUGGUCUGAGAGGAUGAUCAGCCACACUGGGACUGAGACACGGCCCAGACUCCUACGGGAGGCAGCAGUGGGGAAUAUUGGACAAUGGGCGAAAGCCUGAUCCAGCAAUGCCGCGUGAGUGAUGAAGGCCCUAGGGUUGUAAAGCUCUUUUACCAGGGAUGAUAAUGACAGUACCUGGAGAAUAAGCUCCGGCUAACUCCGUG